RNAcentral lists this ribosomal RNA (253 nucleotides) under uncultured bacterium. RNAcentral's name for it is "partial 16S ribosomal RNA". It matches the Rfam family "Bacterial small subunit ribosomal RNA", at positions 524 to 776 of the family's 1533-position model. The record is from RNAcentral.
UACGUAGGGGGCAAGCGUUGUCCGGAAUUAUUGGGCGUAAAGAGCUCGUAGGCGGCUCGUCGCGUCGACCGUGAAAACCCGCGGCUUAACUGCGGGCUUGCGGUUGAUACGGGCGGGCUAGAGUUCGGUAGGGGAGACUGGAAUUCCUGGUGUAGCGGUGAAAUGCGCAGAUAUCAGGAGGAACACCGGUGGCGAAGGCGGCAUCCUGGACCGGUAUUGACGCUGAGGCGCGAAAGCCAGGGGAGCAAACGGG